UAAUUUAUAUCUAAUUAGUUAAAUUU
This 26-nucleotide transfer RNA is filed under the name Rosa kokanica. RNAcentral describes it as "partial tRNA-Val". Lineage: Eukaryota; Viridiplantae; Streptophyta; Magnoliopsida; Rosales; Rosaceae. The record is from RNAcentral.